Non-coding RNA from Microcebus murinus (gray mouse lemur), 2152 nucleotides. NCBI's taxonomy places the organism in Eukaryota, Metazoa, Chordata, Mammalia, Primates, Cheirogaleidae. The record is from RefSeq and is a predicted model, not a curated record.
CGUCUGAGAGUUAAUUAGCAGAAUGGAAUCCUCUUAUAAUAAAUCUCGGGUUCUUUUAGGAAUUAUGUUAAAAGAGGAAUUCCAUUACACACAAUGAACAUUGAUUGCUAAGACUUAAGGGAAGUUUGGCAAUCUGCUGAAAUCAUAUAAUUUUUCACAACAUGAAGGUUGCACAAAUGCCUUUUAUUUCUUUUCUCAAGAAACCUGCAUGCUACUUUCAGGCCAAAUAGUAUGUGUCCUCUUGGAGACUCAUUCUUCUAACACAUUUCUUCUUUCCUACAUAUCACCCACUUCUCUUGUAAGACAUGCAGAAAAAGAUCUAUACAUUUGAAAGAAAUAAAAUUACAAACUUAUCACUUAGGCUUGACAGCAAGCAUAAAAAUAAAGUGUACCCAUACCAUUCUAGUGUAAAAUAUGGGUGAGGAAUAGUUACUUAGUGGACCUUUAGACUAUUAAUUUACCUAUGAAUUCUGAUACCCCUGCUUUAUACUUUGUUUCUUACAAAUAUUGUUACUCCCUGCACACAACUCUCUUCCUAUAAAAAUUUUCUGUUACAUCAUCCUUUCAAAUUGACACUUUAAAUGUUUCCAAUAAGACAUGUUCCAAAUUUUUUUUCAUACUCAAGCAUAAUUUUAUGAUAAGUAAAUUGUUGCACAUAUUUUAGAAAGUUUAUGAUUUCUGUGUAAAUUCAUUUAAAUAGUUGGGCAAUGCAAACAGUGUUGAGUGAAUGAGUUAAUGAACAAGUUGCAAUUUUUUCUUGCAUUGUAUAUCUAUCAUGGAAAAACAGACACGCAACUAGCAUUUAUAGAAUUAAGGCUAAACAUAUUUCAACUUGUACUCUUACAAAAUGAAAAAGAAAAGAAAUGAAUGUUCAUUAUCAUCUCAUCAAAUAGAAGUAAUAAAUUAUGGUGGAUUUUGUCUAUUGAAAGAUAGUGUUGGAAAAUUGCUGGCAGCUAAUUGUAGCAAUGAAUUUUCUGCUAAAGAACGGUGAUUAGUACACAUUUUGUUCAACCCUAAAGGUUUUUGAUAUUUUUUUUUCCUUUCAGUCUGUGGAAUUUUGCUAGGCUUUUAUGACUCAGAGGCCUAGGAUGCCAAUAAAACUUCUUAAAACUAAGUGCUAUAGUAGGCAAGUUAUCUAACCAACUUUUGGGAUCUGGUGGGAUUUUUCCUUUUGACAUUUUAGGUCUGUUGAUUUCUAACACUUUGAGGGUGGAAAUAUUUGCCCAAACCUAUGCAAAUAUUAUUUUUUAAAACAUCUAUGAGUUUUGAAAAUGUAACUUCUAAAUGUCACAUUUGCAUAGGGGAAAAAUGGCCUAAGAUGAUAAAGUAUGACAUAAUAAAUGUUUAAACAUUGAUUGUGGCUUUGGUAAUUAAUUCAGUCCCUUUACAUAACAUCACUGUUUCUCUAUUAGUAAAAAUGUGACAUUAUUUCUUGAGAUCACUUAAAUUCUGCAUUUAAUUUUUAAGGUAAUGGGAAGGAAGAGAGGGCUAAUAUGCAUUGGGACCAAACAAGUACAAUUGAUUUACAAGCAAAUAUUACCCAAGAAGAUGUGUGACAGCCAGAGAUCCCAAUCAUGAGUCCAUUGAUUCUUCUAAAUAUGAUGGGCAAAAAAGAAAAAUGUAUUUUGACAUUUACAGUAUUUUGAAGUUAUUACUAAUUCUUUAUUAAAGUAAUUGUCAGCUACUAAAGAUUUCCUUUGAUUGAUAUAUAAGUAGGCUGAAGAGGAAGAAAAGCAAUAUGGAUCGUUUGUGUUACAAAAGCCCUACAGAUCUGAUUAUGAAUUAGGCAGCUAUGUUAAAUUGCUACCUUAGUUCAAAGUGGAGAAAAGAAGGCAAGCCUGCUACUGGGAAUGAAGUUGACAAUAAAUAUUUUGGACCAGGCAAGUAUAAGAGAUAUUUCUAGAAGAUAAUGGGAUCACUUGGGGUCACUGCAUUCAAACUGAAGCCCAAGUUCAACCUUGGAACAACCAUCAGGAUUUCAGUGUCAAGAGAAAGUGGUAUUCUAGAUUAUGUGAGGUGCCUAUUGAAAGUCUUCCUAACGCUGAAAAGUUUGAGUCAGCUGUAAUUCCUUGUGGGCUCCAACAGAAGAAACCAACAUAAUGGUACUGUCAGUGGUAACGGUAAUAGAAUAAUAAACCAACAUCAUAAAGGA